Molecule: ribosomal RNA, 560 nt
Filed under: uncultured bacterium
Lineage: Bacteria
Description: bacterial SSU rRNA
Rfam family: Bacterial small subunit ribosomal RNA
Source: RNAcentral
CCUACGGGAGGCAGCAGUGGGGAAUCUUGCGCAAUGGGCGAAAGCCUGACGCAGCCAUGCCGCGUGAAUGAUGAAGGUCUUAGGAUUGUAAAAUUCUUUCACCGAGGACGAUAAUGACGGUACUCGGAGAAGAAGCCCCGGCUAACUUCGUGCCAGCAGCCGCGGUAAUACGAAGGGGGCUAGCGUUGCUCGGAAUUACUGGGCGUAAAGGGAGCGUAGGCGGAUAGUUUAGUCAGAGGUGAAAGCCCAGGGCUCAACCUUGGAAUUGCCUUUGAUACUGGCUAUCUUGAGUACGGAAGAGGUAUGUGGAACUCCGAGUGUAGAGGUGAAAUUCGUAGAUAUUCGGAAGAACACCAGUGGCGAAGGCGACAUACUGGUCCGUUACUGACGCUGAGGCUCGAAAGCGUGGGGAGCAAACAGGAUUAGAUACCCUGGUAGUCCACGCUGUAAACGAUGAGUGCUAGUUGUCGGCAUGCAUGCAUGUCGGUGACGCAGCUAACGCAUUAAGCACUCCGCCUGGGGAGUACGGUCGCAGAUUAAAACGUCAAAGGAAUUGACGG